AACGAACGCUGGCGGCAUGCCUAACACAUGCAAGUCGAACGAGACCUUCGGGUCUAGUGGCGCACGGGUGCGUAACGCGUGGGAACCUGCCCUUAGGUUCGGAAUAACUCCCCGAAAGGGGUGCUAAUACCGGAUAAUGUCUUCGGACCAAAGAUUUAUCGCCUUUGGAUGGGCCCGCGUUGGAUUCGCUAGUUGGUAGUGUAAAAGCCUACCAAGGCGACGAUCCAUAGCUGGUCGGAUAGGAUGAUCAGCCACACUGGGACUGAGACACGGCCCAGACUCCUACGGGAGGCAGCAGUGGGGAAUAUUGGACAAUGGGCGAAAGCCUGAUCCAGCAAUGCCGCGUGAGUGAUGAAGGCCUUAGGGUUGUAAAGCUCUUUUACCCGGGAUGAUAAUGACAGUACCGGGAGAAUAAGCUCCGGCUAACUCCGUG
Molecule: ribosomal RNA, 433 nt
Filed under: uncultured bacterium
Lineage: Bacteria
Description: partial 16S ribosomal RNA
Rfam family: Bacterial small subunit ribosomal RNA
Source: RNAcentral